This 1055-nucleotide ribosomal RNA is filed under the name Salmonella enterica subsp. enterica serovar Typhimurium. RNAcentral's name for it is "partial 23S ribosomal RNA". It matches the Rfam family "Bacterial large subunit ribosomal RNA", at positions 644 to 1616 of the family's 2925-position model. The record is from RNAcentral. Lineage: Bacteria; Pseudomonadati; Pseudomonadota; Gammaproteobacteria; Enterobacterales; Enterobacteriaceae.
GGUUAACCGUAUAGGGGAGCCGGAGGGAAACCGAGUCUUAAUUGGGCGUUAAGUUGCAGGGUAUAGACCCGAAACCCGGUGAUCUAGCCAUGGGCAGGUUGAAGGUUGGGUAACACUAACUGGAGGACCGAACCGACUAAUGUUGAAAAAUUAGCGGAUGACCUGUGGCUGGGGGUGAAAGGCCAAUCAAACCGGGAGAUAGCUGGUUCUCCCCGAAAGCUAUUUAGGUAGCGCCUCGUGAAUUCAUCUCCGGGGGUAGAGCACUGUUUCGGCUAGGGGGCCAUCCCGGCUUACCAACCCGAUGCAAACUGCGAAUACCGGAGAAUGUUAUCACGGGAGACACACGGCGGGUGCUAACGUCCGUCGUGAAGAGGGAAACAACCCAGACCGCCAGCUAAGGUCCCAAAGUCAUGGUUAAGUGGGAAACGAUGUGGGAAGGCCCAGACAGCCAGGAUGUUGGCUUAGAAGCAGCCAUCAUUUAAAGAAAGCGUAAUAGCUCACUGGUCGAGUCGGCCUGCGCGGAAGAUGUAACGGGGCUAAACCAUGCACCGAAGCUGCGGCAGCGAACGUAUCACCCAAGACAACUUUACGGAGUUGACGAUUGACGGAGCGAAGCGACGUCAAAGCGUUCAUUAAAGUCGAGUUGGCUUAGGGAUACGUUCGUUGGGUAGGGGAGCGUUCUGUAAGCCUGUGAAGGUGUGUCGUGAGGCAUGCUGGAGGUAUCAGAAGUGCGAAUGCUGACAUAAGUAACGAUAAAGCGGGUGAAAAGCCCGCUCGCCGGAAGACCAAGGGUUCCUGUCCAACGUUAAUCGGGGCAGGGUGAGUCGACCCCUAAGGCGAGGCCGAAAGGCGUAGUCGAUGGGAAACGGGUUAAUAUUCCCGUACUUGGUGUUACUGCGAAGGGGGGACGGAGAAGGCUAUGUUGGCCGGGCGACGGUUGUCCCGGUUUAAGCGUGUAGGUGUGUGUUCCAGGUAAAUCCGGUUCACUUUAACACUGAGGCGUGACGACGAGGCACUACGGUGCUGAAGCAACAAAUGCCCUGCUUCCAGGAAAA